This is a long non-coding RNA of Amazona aestiva (blue-fronted amazon), 339 nucleotides long. It matches the Rfam family "Prostate cancer antigen RNA 3 conserved region 2". The record is from Rfam. NCBI's taxonomy places the organism in Eukaryota, Metazoa, Chordata, Aves, Psittaciformes, Psittacidae.
UUUUGAUUUUCCAUUAUUAACGAUGGAAAUACAAGCAUAUUUUUAAAUGGCAUUCAGCACAGUCAGUGAUGUACCUGUGCUUGAUGCCGCUAUUCUUCACAAAAUGUGAUAAUUUAUCUGUUAACAUGAAACCAAAGUUUGACUCCACGGAAGCAGCUGGAAAUGGAUAACCACAAUAUGCUUAAACCUCUUCGGAGCGCACGGUUUGGCAUAUUUUGUUAAAAGUUCCUUAUAUUUAGGAAUUCUUUUAAGCAAAGUACUUUUGCUGAGUCUCAGCUGGUGUGCAUAGAGGAAUAUUCGUUUCCGAGUGGUAACAUGGAAUUCAAUUUUUUUUUUACC